AAUUAGAAAAAAGCUCAGUUUCGACCUGAUCAAAGUGAUUUUUUCACUCUAAUU
This 54-nucleotide transfer RNA is filed under the name Colpocephalum griffoneae. RNAcentral describes it as "tRNA-Arg". The record is from RNAcentral. Lineage: Eukaryota; Metazoa; Arthropoda; Insecta; Psocodea; Menoponidae.